RNAcentral lists this ribosomal RNA (450 nucleotides) under uncultured bacterium. RNAcentral's name for it is "partial 16S ribosomal RNA". It matches the Rfam family "Bacterial small subunit ribosomal RNA", at positions 354 to 796 of the family's 1533-position model. The record is from RNAcentral.
GUUAGGAAUAUUGGACAAUGGGCGCAAGCCUGAUCCAGCCAUGCCGCGUGUGUGAAGAAGGUCUUCGGAUUGUAAAGCACUUUAAGUUGGGAGGAAGGGUAGUAACCUAAUACGUUGCUACUUUGACGUUACCGACAGAAUAAGCACCGGCUAACUUCGUGCCAGCAGCCGCGGUAAUACGAAGGGUGCAAGCGUUAAUCGGAAUUACUGGGCGUAAAGCGCGCGUAGGUGGUUCAGUAAGUUGGAGGUGAAAUCCCCGGGCUCAACCUGGGAACUGCCUCCAAAACUGCAUGACUAGAGUACGGUAGAGGGUAGUGGAAUUUCCUGUGUAGCGGUGAAAUGCGUAGAUAUAGGAAGGAACACCAGUGGCGAAGGCGACCACCUGGACUGAUACUGACACUGAGGUGCGAAAGCGUGGGGAGCAAACAGGAUUAGAAACCCCAGUAGUCC